This is a long non-coding RNA of Sorghum bicolor (sorghum), 632 nucleotides long. RefSeq lists it as uncharacterized. NCBI's taxonomy places the organism in Eukaryota, Viridiplantae, Streptophyta, Magnoliopsida, Poales, Poaceae. The transcript is spliced from 2 exons. The record is from RefSeq and is a predicted model, not a curated record.
UCUUGCUUUGUUUCAUAAGUCAUUAUAUAGUAUACAAUGACUGAUUACUAAUAAGUAAUAUCUCGAUCUGUAAUCCAAGGUAUUGGAUGAAAACAAGAACACAGGACUUUGACGAUGAGCACUAGGUCAAAACAAGUGGCUCUUAUCUAUAAACUUCCAAUUUAAAGCCGCCUCAACUUCUAGGCUACGUCUCACUCAGAGUCACAGGAUAUCGAUAAGGAUUACACAAGUGAUAAUGCGCCUUCAGGCUGUGCAAUCAUGUCCUUUGCUUGGAUGUUUGAGCUAGUGAUCUAAGCACCAUAGGGGGCACAAUCCAAAACUUAAUAUGGCACUCCGAUAUAACUUGGAGCGCUUUUAAGUGGAGAUAAACCUAAGACUACAUGACUCAGGUCCUUUGCAAUCAGUCCUUUGUAACCCAUAAGCAGGUGGAAGUAGAUAUAUAGUCAGCUUUUCAUUUAUGCUAUUCUCUCUAGAUAUGUUGUAGAUUAUACUGGAGCUAAGACACUACCAAUCAUAAACUCCAACGCAAUCACCUGCGUGAGCGUUGCCUGAUGGAUGCCUUGCCUGACGGCACAUCCUGCAGAAGCAUUGGAUUGAGAAUGUAAUCAAUGAUCAGAGGCUCUUUUCAUAAA